This 73-nucleotide transfer RNA is filed under the name Ructibacterium gallinarum. It matches the Rfam family "tRNA". From Rfam's summary of the family: Transfer RNA (tRNA) molecules are approximately 80 nucleotides in length. Their secondary structure includes four short double-helical elements and three loops (D, anti-codon, and T loops). Lineage: Bacteria; Bacillati; Bacillota; Clostridia; Eubacteriales; Oscillospiraceae. The record is from Rfam by way of RNAcentral.
GGUUGCUUCGCUCAGAUGGGAGAGCAUUUGCCUUACAAACAGAGGGCCAUAGGAUCGAUCCCUAUAGCGACUA